This 460-nucleotide ribosomal RNA is filed under the name uncultured bacterium. RNAcentral describes it as "partial 16S ribosomal RNA". It matches the Rfam family "Bacterial small subunit ribosomal RNA", at positions 338 to 795 of the family's 1533-position model. The record is from RNAcentral.
CCUACGGGAGGCAGCAGUGAGGAAUAUUCGUCAAUGGGCGCGAGCCUGAACCAGCCACGUAGCGUGAAGGAUGACUGCCCUACGGGUUGUAAACUUCUUUUAUAGAGGAAUACAGUGAUGCACGUGUGCCUUUUUGUAUGUACUUUAUGAAUAAGGAUCGGCUAACUCCGUGCCAGCCGCCGCGGUAAUACGGAGGAUCCGAGCGUUAUCCGGAUUUGUUGGGUUUAAAGGGAGCGUAGAUGGGUUGUUAAGUCAGUUGUGAAAGUUUGCGGCUCAACCGUAAAAUUGCAAUUGAUACUGGAAGUCUUGAGUACAGGUGAGGUAGGCGGAAUUCGUGGUGUAGCGGUGAAAUGCUUAGAGAUCACGAAGAACACCGAUUGCGAAGGCAGCUUACUAAACUGCCACUGACAUUGAUGCUCGAAAGUGUGGGUAUCAAACAGGAGUAGAUACCCGUGUAGUC